GACGAACCGUGCGAACGUUGUUCGGAAUCACUGGGCUUAAAGGGCGCGUAGGCGGUCGUGACAAGUCACUUGUGAAAUCUCCGGGCUUAACUCGGAACGGUCAAGUGAUACUGUCGGACUAGAGUACAGAAGGGGCAACUGGAAUUCUCGGUGUAGCGGUGAAAUGCGUAGAUAUCGAGAGGAACACCAGUGGCGAAGGCGACUUACUGGACGAUUGUUGACGCUGAGGUGCGAAAGCGUGGGGAGCAAACAGG
RNAcentral lists this ribosomal RNA (254 nucleotides) under uncultured bacterium. RNAcentral's name for it is "partial 16S ribosomal RNA". It matches the Rfam family "Bacterial small subunit ribosomal RNA", at positions 524 to 776 of the family's 1533-position model. The record is from RNAcentral.